RNAcentral lists this ribosomal RNA (122 nucleotides) under Photobacterium profundum. Its description in RNAcentral is "partial 16S ribosomal RNA". It matches the Rfam family "Bacterial small subunit ribosomal RNA", at positions 1 to 113 of the family's 1533-position model. Lineage: Bacteria; Pseudomonadati; Pseudomonadota; Gammaproteobacteria; Vibrionales; Vibrionaceae. The record is from RNAcentral.
UUUAAUUGAAGAGUUUGAUCAUGGCUCAGAUUGAACGCUGGCGGCAGGCCUAACACAUGCAAGUCGAGCGGUAACAGGAAUUAGCUUGCUAAUUUGCUGACGAGCGGCGGACGGGUGAGUAA